GUUCAAAGCAGGCAGAUCCAAUUUUCUGCCACCGAAUACAUUAGCAUGGGAUAAUGGAAUAGGACCCUGUCCUCCUAUUUUCAGUUGGUUUUGGCAGCGCGAGGACUAGGGUGAUGAUUAAUAGGGAUAGUUGGGGGCAUUAAUAUUUAAUUGUCAGAGGUGAAAUUCUUGGAUUUAUGAAAGAUUAACUUCUGCGAAAGCAUCUGCCAAGGAUGUUUUCAUUAAUCAAGAACGAAAGUUAGGGGAUCGAAGACGAUCAGAUACCGUCGUAGUCUUAACCAUAAAAGAUGCCGACCAGCGAUUAGGAGACGUUGAAUACAMAACUCCCCAUCGGCGCGGUCGUCCUUGKCGCCGUCCCGUUUCCCCCGGGRCCGMGCGGGGCGGCUURCCCAACCUUAUCCAA
Molecule: ribosomal RNA, 403 nt
Filed under: Acanthamoeba sp. SGC-11
Lineage: Eukaryota; Discosea; Longamoebia; Acanthamoebidae
Description: bacterial SSU rRNA
Rfam family: Eukaryotic small subunit ribosomal RNA
Source: RNAcentral